AAGACUUUAAGUUAUAAAACUAAUAGCCUUCAAAGCUAUAAAUAAAGAUAAUUCUUUAAGCCUUA
Molecule: transfer RNA, 65 nt
Filed under: Taeniochauliodes natalensis
Lineage: Eukaryota; Metazoa; Arthropoda; Insecta; Megaloptera; Corydalidae
Description: tRNA-Trp
Source: RNAcentral